GGGUGAAUAGCUCAGCUGGUUCAGAGCAUCUGCCUUACAAGCAGAGGGUCCGGGGUUCGAAUCCCUGUUCACCCA
Molecule: transfer RNA, 75 nt
Filed under: Schleiferiaceae bacterium
Lineage: Bacteria; Pseudomonadati; Bacteroidota; Flavobacteriia; Flavobacteriales; Schleiferiaceae
Description: tRNA-Val
Rfam family: tRNA
About the family: Transfer RNA (tRNA) molecules are approximately 80 nucleotides in length. Their secondary structure includes four short double-helical elements and three loops (D, anti-codon, and T loops). Further hydrogen bonds mediate the characteristic L-shaped molecular structure. tRNAs have two regions of fundamental functional importance: the anti-codon, which is responsible for specific mRNA codon recognition, and the 3' end, to which the tRNAs corresponding amino acid is attached (by aminoacyl-tRNA synthetases). tRNAs cope with the degeneracy of the genetic code in two manners: having more than one tRNA (with a specific anti-codon) for a particular amino acid; and 'wobble' base-pairing, i.e. permitting non-standard base-pairing at the 3rd anti-codon position.
Source: RNAcentral